RNAcentral lists this ribosomal RNA (497 nucleotides) under uncultured bacterium. RNAcentral describes it as "partial 16S ribosomal RNA". It matches the Rfam family "Bacterial small subunit ribosomal RNA", at positions 28 to 507 of the family's 1533-position model. The record is from RNAcentral.
GAUGAACGCUGGCGGCGUGCCUAAUACAUGCCAGUCGAGCGAACGGACGAGAAGCUUGCUUCUCUGAUGUUAGCGGCGGACGGGUGAGUAACGCGUGGAUAACCUACCUAUAAGACUGGGAUAACUUCGGGAAACCGGAGCUAAUACCGGAUAAUAUUUUGAACCGCAUGGUUCAAAAGUGAAAGACGGUCUUGCUGUCACUUAUAGAUGGAUCCGCGCUGCAUUAGCUAGUUGGUAAGGUAACGGCUUACCAAGGCAACGAUGCAUAGCCGACCUGAGAGGGUGAUCGGCCACACUGGAACUGAGACACGGUCCAGACUCCUACGGGAGGCAGCAGUAGGGAAUCUUCCGCAAUGGGCGAAAGCCUGACGGAGCAACGCCGCGUGAGUGAUGAAGGUCUUCGGAUCGUAAAACUCUGUUAUUAGGGAAGAACAUAUGUGUAAGUAACUGUGCACAUCUUGACGGUACCUAAUCAGAAAGCCACGGCUAACUACGUG